RNAcentral lists this ribosomal RNA (556 nucleotides) under uncultured bacterium. Its description in RNAcentral is "bacterial SSU rRNA". It matches the Rfam family "Bacterial small subunit ribosomal RNA", at positions 777 to 1323 of the family's 1533-position model. The record is from RNAcentral.
AAUAGAUACCCCGGUAGUCCACGCCGUAAACGAUGAGUGCUAAGUGGUUAGGGGGUUUCCCGCCCCUUAGGUGCUGCAGCUAACGCAUUAAGCACUCCGCCGUGGGGAGUACGGUCGCAAGACUAGAAACUCAAAAGGAAUUGGACGGGGGCCCGCACAAGCGGUGGAGCAUGUGGUUUAAUUCGAAGCAACGCGAAGAACCUUACCAGGUCUUGACAUCCCAUUGACCGCUAUGGAGACAUAGCUUUCCCUUCGGGGACAGUGGUGACAGGUGGUGCAUGGUUGUCGUCAGCUCGUGUCGUGAGAUGUUGGGUUAAGUCCCGCAACGAGCGCAACCCUUGUUCUUAGUUGCCAUCAUUUAGUUGGGCACUCUAAGGAGACUGCCGGUGACAAACCGGAGGAAGGUGGGGAUGACGUCAAAUCAUCAUGCCCCUUAUGGACCUGGGCUACACACGUGCUACAAUGGACGGUACAAACGGUUGCCAACCCGCGAGGGGGAGCUAAUCCGAUAAAACCGUUCUCAGUUCGGAUUGUAGGCUGCAACUCGCCUACNGUA